Nymphaea colorata (pocket water lily) is the source of this 776-nucleotide long non-coding RNA. RefSeq lists it as uncharacterized. Lineage: Eukaryota; Viridiplantae; Streptophyta; Magnoliopsida; Nymphaeales; Nymphaeaceae. The record is from RefSeq and is a predicted model, not a curated record. The transcript is spliced from 2 exons.
CCCACUUCCAGGCUCCACCAUUCUUUUGCCUUUAAUUCGACCCUACUACAUCUCUGUCUCUGUAUCUCUAUGGUAUAUAAGCAUAAUGCCUCCCGUUCUCUGCUGUGCCUCCUUUCUGUGCGCAGCAUGCAGGCCUGCUAGGUGAGCUCUCUCACGUUGGAGAAGCAGGGCACGUGCCAAGGCCCACCUUCUCCCCUUCAGGCCUCUCUCUUCUGUGUGGACUCUCGCACGUGCUCCCCUUCUCCAACAUGGUGCCCUCUCCUCCACUCCCAACCUCCUCCUCUUCUCAGUGGCUUCCAUGUCCCUUCCAUGAGCAGCAGCAUCGGCGGGAACCAGCGGAAAAGAUUUAAUAGCUUUAAGGAGGAUCCACAUACACCCCAUUAAGGAGGUUCGAGGUUCUGGGAAUUUGAGAUGUCUCUCUCUCUCUCUCUCUCUCUCUCUCUGAGAAAGAGAGAGAGAGAGAUGGUAAUGACGCAACAUGGUGCCGUUUUUGCAUCAUCCCAUUACGGCGGCACGUGUAGCGUGUUCGUGCGGAAGGCCUCCCUCUAGCGAAGGGUGACAUAAGCGCAAGAGCACACAAAAAUGUACAGAGAGAGAGAGAGAGAGAGAGCAUAACAACAAAAUAGUGGAGCUCACUGUCACAUGGCUUGGUUAAGUUCCACACCGACACUGGUGACCCCAAACGUCGGCACCAAGUUAUUCUAAUUCAAGUUUGGGAACAAUUUGGAAUCGAUGUAUGUAUGUUUUCUGUUUGGAAUGAAACUGCACUUGUUUAA